UCUAGCGGCGGACGGGUGAGUAACGCGUGAGCAAUCUGUCUCAGACAGGGGGAUAACGCAGCGAAAGUUGCACUAAUACCGCAUAAGACCACAGAGCCACAUGGCAUAGGGGUCAAAGGAGCAAUCCGGUCUGAGGUGAGCUCGCGUCCCAUUAGGUAGUUGGUGAGGUAACGGCCCACCAAGCCUGCGAUGGGUAGCCGACCUGAGAGGGUGAUCGGCCACACUGGAACUGAGACACGGUCCAGACUCC
Molecule: ribosomal RNA, 250 nt
Filed under: uncultured bacterium
Lineage: Bacteria
Description: partial 16S ribosomal RNA
Rfam family: Bacterial small subunit ribosomal RNA
Source: RNAcentral